CCGGACCUGACUGCUAUCGUAUUGGUACUAAGCCAUGCGAGUCGUUGUACAUACAAGGCGAACUGCUCAGUAACACGUAGUUAACCUAACCUAUGGAUGGGGAUAACCUCGGGAAACUGAGAAUAAUACCCAAUAGACCACAGUGCCUGGAAUGGCCUGUGGUUGAAAUGAUUUAUCGCUGUAGGAUAGGACUGCGGCCUAUCAGCUUGUUGGUGAGGUAAUGGCCCACCAAGGCUAUAACAGGUACGGGCUCUGAGAGGAGGGGCCCGGAGAUGGGUACUGAGACACGGACCCAGGCCCUAUGGGGCGCAGCAGGCGAGAAACCUUUACAAUGUGCGAAAGCACGACAAGGUUAAUCCGAGUGUCUCCUGCUAAAGGAGUCUUUUGUCAGUUGUAGAAUCACUGGUGAAUAAGGGGUGGGCAAGUUCUGGUGUCAGCCGCCGCGGUAAAACCAGCACCUCGAGUGGUCAGGAGGUUUAUUGGGCCUAAAGCAUCCGUAGCCGGUUGCCAUAAGUUUCCGGUUACAUCUAUGCGCUCAACGUAUAGGCCGCCGAAAAUCUGUGCAGCUAGGGAGUGGGAGAGGUCCA
Molecule: ribosomal RNA, 587 nt
Filed under: uncultured archaeon
Lineage: Archaea
Description: bacterial SSU rRNA
Rfam family: Archaeal small subunit ribosomal RNA
Source: RNAcentral